Molecule: transfer RNA, 69 nt
Filed under: Thyrsitoides marleyi (blacksail snake mackerel)
Lineage: Eukaryota; Metazoa; Chordata; Actinopteri; Scombriformes; Gempylidae
Description: tRNA-Met
Rfam family: tRNA
About the family: Transfer RNA (tRNA) molecules are approximately 80 nucleotides in length. Their secondary structure includes four short double-helical elements and three loops (D, anti-codon, and T loops). Further hydrogen bonds mediate the characteristic L-shaped molecular structure. tRNAs have two regions of fundamental functional importance: the anti-codon, which is responsible for specific mRNA codon recognition, and the 3' end, to which the tRNAs corresponding amino acid is attached (by aminoacyl-tRNA synthetases). tRNAs cope with the degeneracy of the genetic code in two manners: having more than one tRNA (with a specific anti-codon) for a particular amino acid; and 'wobble' base-pairing, i.e. permitting non-standard base-pairing at the 3rd anti-codon position.
Source: RNAcentral
AGUAAAAUCAGCUAAAUAAGCUUUUGGGCCCAUACCCCAAGAAUGAAGGUUAAACCCCCUCUUUUACUA